RNAcentral lists this ribosomal RNA (261 nucleotides) under uncultured bacterium. RNAcentral's name for it is "partial 16S ribosomal RNA". It matches the Rfam family "Bacterial small subunit ribosomal RNA", at positions 334 to 611 of the family's 1533-position model. The record is from RNAcentral.
UUGUCCUACGGGACGCAGCAGUGGGGGAUAUUGCACAAUGGGGGAAACCCUGAUGCAGCGACGCUGCGUGAGUGAAGAAGUAUUUCGGUAUGUAAAGCUCUAUCAGCAGGGAAGAAAAAAGACGGUACCUGACUAAGAAGCCCCGGCUAACUACGUGCCAGAAGCCGCGGUAAUACGUAGGGGGCAAGCGUUAUCCGGAUUUACUGGGUGUAAAGGGAGCGUAGACGGCAAUACAAGUCGGAAGUGAAAUACCCGGGCUCA